GGACACUUUGGUGAGGCCCAUCUGUGUGUGUGUCUUCCACAAAGCGUAAGGCAUCAUUGCCCGUCUGUAAUUCCUGUUAAAGAUGAUUGAUACGUUGUCAGAGCUCAGCUCAGAUACCUCCCACCUGUGGGAACUUGUGUUCAGUCGAGGAAUGCUGUGAACUGUCAGCUCCUUUCUUCUUUUCUGGGAAUACUUUAAGGCUGGUGAUAAAAAAAAGGAUGAUAUACCUCUCAAACAUGGAGGUUCACCGCUCUGAAGCCUUUAAAUACAAUCUCGAGAACAAGCACCCUCAACUAAACAAGUCUCUACUUGGAAAAGAUCCAAGUCUUCCCCACAGAACAAGGCUCGUCUAAACAAAGUCAGGUAAGAAAGUAUGACAUAUUCCACACCAAAUCUGUAAAUUACCUCAGAAUGAACCUUAUUGGCAAAGUGGAUUUUGGCCAAGUUAUCAAGUGUGUACAUCAGAGAUUACGGUCAUCAAGACUGUCAAAGACCUUGAUUAUCACGCAGCAGAAGUAGAAAUGCUGGAAAAACCCCGUUGGUCUAGAGGAAAAACCACUUGGUCAGAUUCAUACAGUUUCAUAAUCAAUGCCAUGGAUUGCCCUGUCUUUGAGAUGCUUGACAAGAGCCUUCAGAUUUGGUGGUAUAGAGACGAGCACUAUUGACUCUUAAUGAAAUCCGUCCAAUAACUCGUCAACCACCAAGAUGAGACCUUCAGGGUAAAAUGAAUUACUUCAUUAGGGCCAUUCCAGCCUCUGAAGUAAGGGAAGGGAUGAUUACACAGACACGUGAAUACCAAGCACCAGAGGUGACCUUGGGCUUCCCCAUAUCGGUGUUGGGUCUGUCUGUGUUUUGUUUUUUCUCCCUCCUGGUUGUCAGCUGGUCUUGAUGGGGUCGUCGGGCAGUUCCUGCCACCUGCUGCUUAUCUUCAGGAUUGCCUCCACCCACCUCCAGUAUUUAAGCCGGCCUGAUCUACCAGUCUUCGCCAGUUCGUCAGAUACUCCUGCGUUUUUUCCCUGUGUCCUGGUCCUCGGCUUUGAUUGCCUCGUCUCCCUGCCUCGCCAGUUCCUGUCCGGAGCUCCUGCAUCCAGCCUCCCAAUUUCUAUCUUCAUCAACCUGUUUAAAUAAACUUCUGUACCGAAGAGGUCGGCUUGUGAGUCCAGUUAUUCGAAAGAAACCUAACAAUCGGAGGCCAUUGACAUGAGUGCACUGGGAUGUGUCUUGGCAUUCCAGUUUUUUGGCCGGGACAUCUUCAAUGGAAAAUCAACAUACGAUGUAAUGAAAACGGUUUGCUGUCUACUUGGUCAGCCACAAGACCACCUGCUGAAAAAACAGACCUG
This is a long non-coding RNA of Gasterosteus aculeatus aculeatus (three-spined stickleback), 1340 nucleotides long. The record is from Ensembl. Lineage: Eukaryota; Metazoa; Chordata; Actinopteri; Perciformes; Gasterosteidae.